CUUUCUUUGCUGGCGACCGGCGCACGGGUGAGUAACACGUAUCCAACCUGCCCUUUACUCGGGGAUAGCCUUUCGAAAGAAAGAUUAAUACCCGAUAGCAUAAUGAUUCCGCAUGGUUUCAUUAUUAAAGGAUUCCGGUAAAGGAUGGGGAUGCGUUCCAUUAGGUUGUUGGUGGGGUAACGGCCCACCAAGCCUUCGAUGGAUAGAGGUUCUGAGAGGAAGGUCCCCCACAUUGGAACUGAGACACGGUCCAA
RNAcentral lists this ribosomal RNA (254 nucleotides) under uncultured bacterium. RNAcentral describes it as "partial 16S ribosomal RNA". It matches the Rfam family "Bacterial small subunit ribosomal RNA", at positions 79 to 334 of the family's 1533-position model. The record is from RNAcentral.